This 497-nucleotide ribosomal RNA is filed under the name uncultured bacterium. Its description in RNAcentral is "partial 16S ribosomal RNA". It matches the Rfam family "Bacterial small subunit ribosomal RNA", at positions 28 to 507 of the family's 1533-position model. The record is from RNAcentral.
GAUGAACGCUGGCGGCGUGCCUAAUACAUGCAAGUCGAGCGAACAGACGAGGAGCUUGCUCCUCUGACGUUAGCGGCGGACGGGUGAGUAACACGUGGAUAACCUACCUAUAAGACUGGGAUAACUUCGGGAAACCGGAGCUAAUACCGGAUAAUAUAUUGUACCGCAUGGUUCAAUAGUGAAAGACGGUUUUGCUGUCACUUAUAGAUGGAUCCGCGCCGCAUUAGCUAGUUGGUAAGGUAACGGCUUACCAAGGCAACGAUGCGUAGCCGACCUGAGAGGGUGAUCGGCCACACUGGAACUGAGACACGGUCCAGACUCCUACGGGAGGCAGCAGUAGGGAAUCUUCCGCAAAGGGCGAAAGCCUGACGGAGCAACGCCGCGUGAGUGAUGAAGGUCUUCGGAUCGUAAAACUCUGUUAUUAGGGAAGAACAAAUGUGUAAGUAACUAUGCACGUCUUGACGGUACCUAAUCAGAAAGCCACGGCUAACUACGUG